GCGCAUCUAAGCGUUUCGCAAGCACGGUAACAUAGCACAUACAUAAUAAUAGUAGAAUGACAAUAAGGUAUUCAACUGCCAUCUCAUAAAUAUAUCAGAGUUACAUCACGCAUCCAAACAAGGUAGUUCUACUAUGGACUACAAAACAUGAGAAAUGACUAUGCUACCCUCCAUGCUUGCCCAUGAUCACGACCACGCCUCAGUGUUAUGGAUAGUUCACGUACAGGCGGUCGUUCUCCUCAUCGUACUGCCACGNNNNNNNNNNNNNNNNNNNNNNNNNNNNNNNNNNNNNNNNNNNNNNNNNNNNNNNNNNNNNNNNNNNNNNNNNNNNNNNNNNNNNNNNNNNNNNNNNNNNUGCCUCUGGGCCGGGACUAAAGGCCCGGCCACGUCGCCCCAAUUCUCAUAUCCUCCCUCGAGGCUUUAGUCCCGGCCCGUAAGGAGCCUUUAGUCCCGGUUCGUGUCCCAAACCGGGACUAAAGGGCUACGCGGUGGGCAGCCCGCAUGUGCGCCACCUUUAGUCCCGGUUUGCCUCUCAAAUUGGGACUAAAGUCCUCUGCCUAUAUAUAGCACAGCCCCCUCUCCCCUCUUCGUUGCAUUUUUCUUGGAUGGAGGAUUGUGGGUGGGUGCUUGCUCUCCACUUUUUUUGAUGCACUAGAGGUGUUUGUUGAAAUGUGUGUUAGAGCGAUGCCGCUUCAGUUCACCGAACACAACUACGAUAUGAGAUGCCCGAGCCACGCUUAAACCUCUUCCUCUUUAUUUCUACUUAUUCUAAAAGGUUAGCAACUAUAUUUCCUCGUUUAGACCGUGCGGUACUAAUUUUUAGGAUCGUGAUUGUAUUUGAUAUACUGUCGUAUAACGCAGAUGAGCCAUCCAUGGAUGUACGGUGAUCGACGCACAGCCGCUUACAGAGAAGGCGUGCAUUCUUUUUUAGAUGCAGCCGAUGCGAACAAGCAUGGUGGUGGCUAUAUGUUUUGUCCAUGUGUUGAAUGUUGGAAUGAGAAGGAUUACACUUCCUCAAGAGUCAUUCAGAGCCACCUGCUUCGGUCCGGUUUUAUGUCAGGCUAUAAUGGUGUGUUGAAUGUCGGAAUGAGAAGGAUUACACUUCCUCAAGAGUCAUUCAGAGCCACCUGCUUCGGUCCGGUUUUAUGUCGGGCUAUAAUGUUUGGACCAAGCACGGAGAAAGAGGGGUUAUGUUGGAAGACGACGAUGAAGAAGAAGAGCACGAUUAUGACAACUACCGAUCUAUGUUCCCUGAGUAUGCUGACACCGCAAUGGAAGACAAUGAAGAAGAAGGUCAGGAUGAAGAACGGGAACCAGAUGAGCCCGCUGAUGAUCUUGGCCGGGUCAUUUCUGAUGCACGCCGAGGUUGUAUGUUCCCUGAGUAUGCUGAUACCGCAAUGGAAGACAAUGAAGAAGAAGAUCAGGAUGAAGAACGGGAACCAGAUGAGCCCGCUGAUGAUCUUGGUCGGUUCAUUUCUGAUGCACGGCGAGGUUGCGACACAGAAAAGGAGAGGUUGCAGUUCGAGCAGAUGUUACAGGACCACAACAAAUUGUUGUACCCAACUUGUGAAGAUGGCCAGAAGAAGCUGGGUAGCACACUGGAAUUGCUGAAGUGGAAGGCAGAGAUCGGUGUGACUGACUCGUCAUUCGAAAAGUUGCUGGUACUAAUGAAGAAGAUGCUUCGAAGAAAGAUCGAAUUGCCCGCCAGCACGUAGGAAGCAAAGAAGCUUGUCUGCCCUCUAGGAUUAGACGUGCAGAAGAUACAUGCAUGCCCUAAUGACUGCAUCCUCUACCGCGGUGAGAAGUACGAGAAUAUGGAUAAAUGCCCGGUAUGCACUGCACUGCGGUAUAAGAUCAGAAAAGAUGACCCUGGUGAUAUUGAGGGCGAGCCACCCAGGAAGAGGGUUCCUGCCAAGGUGAUGUGGUAUGCUCCUAUAAUACCACGCUUGAAACGUCUGUUCAGAAAUAAAGAUCAUGCGAAGUUGUUGCGAUGGCACAUGGAAGAUCGUAUGAGUGAUGUGGUAUGCUCCUAUAAUACCACGCUUGAAACGUCUGUUCAGAAAUAAAUAUAAUGUGAAGUUGUUGCGAUGGCACAUGGAAGAUCUUAUGAAAGACGAUAAGUUGAGGCACACCGCUGAUGGUCGGCAGUGGAUAAAAAUCGAGAGAGAGUUCCCGAGAUUUGCAGCUGACGCAAGGAACUUAUGGUUAGGUCUGAGUACAGAUGGCAUGAAUCCUUUUGGGGAGCAGAGUUGCAGUCACAGCACCUGGCCCGUUACUCUAUGUAUCUACAACCUUCCUCCUUGGUUGUUCAUGAAGCGGAAGUUCAUUAUGAUGCCAGUGCUUAUACAAGGUCCAAAGCAACCCGGCAACGAUAUUGAUGUGUACCUAAGGCCAUUAGUUGANNNNNNNNNNNNNNNNNNNNNNNNNNNNNNNNNNNNNNNNNNNNNNNNNNNNNNNNNNNNNNNNNNNNNNNNNNNNNNNNNNNNNNNNNNNNNNNNNNNNAGUUAUGUUUAAGUUAUCUAUAACCGGAUGUUAACAAAUAUUCCAAGCUGCCACAUAACCGCGGGCACAGCUUUCUGAAAGAUUAAACCCUAUUGGGGUGCUCCAACUAGUCCAUCACAAACGAUCACGGGCCGCAAAGUAAUCCUCUAUCACGAAUCUCGUGAUCUCGUCGAAUUCCUUAGAGGAAAACCUCAACUCUGGAGAGAACCAAAGCUUCACCGGGAUUCCUUUACGCAAUAUAUAUCGCUAAGGUAAGACAACUCUAGCAGGACCUCCCAUCGUGUCGACGACCCCGAUAAGAGCCGCGUAUCUCAGUCUGAGGACACGACGGAUGGAAAAGCCUACACGAGCCAAACCUCAAGUUUCCCUGUGGUGGCCCCCGCAGUCUGUCCAUUUUUGGACCAACACUCAUGAGGAGCACUGGCCCGGGUUGUUGAUUAAAUUCCUCGGGAAGGCCAUUCCCUAUGCAGAUUAUUAUUAAGUGAUUAGCAAAUUAACACCAAGGUUGGGUCCUGCCGAACAAGUCUUAACACUACGCGAUUUAUCAAGGGGGUUCCAUAACAACCCCGAACGUGUUAGGAGUGAACAGCUAUGGAAUCAAACACCGGUAGCCGGUAGCUAUGGCGGCAAUAACAGAACAAAACACCCGGCAAAAGGCUAGGCCUUCCGUUAUUUACCAAGUAUAUAGGUGCAUUAAUUAAAUAACAGAUUUAGCAUAAUGAUAUCAAGCUCAUGUUAUCACAUGAGACUAAGCACCCGCAACUAGCAACGCUAACAUUAAAAGCUUAGCAAAGCCUACAUAGCCAUUCAAGAUUUGCUAGGAAGGGAAAAUGUUUGGGUUUCAUGGCAAUUCAGGAGGCAAUUAUUUCAGUGGUAGGCAGCGAGCAUAUGACGAAGAAACGUAAUCUAGCAUAACAUGUCUAGAGAUGGAAUCAAGGUCAUAUCAUCUUGCCUGUCAUGUCCUCAGCUUAGAACUGCUCUUGUUCGUCCUGCACGUACUCUCCCGGAUCCACAUACUCGUUCUCCGAUCCCGGUGCUACCCAACAUAAAAAUAACAUCCAAUGAACAACAACACCUCAAAUGCAACAAGCACAUGAUGCAUGAGAUGAAAAUGAACAUGCAUCUCUAUUCUAGUCACUAGCACAAGCAUGAGAAGUAAAUACAAGUUCCUGGACAGAACUGCAAUCUAAGCUAUCUUGACAUGCAUGAGAAUGACAUGAACAGAUGCUUCACGCGAAAACGAUGCAAAAACAUAUAAAGAACGUAACGAUCGGAGCUACGGAUCAACGGAAAACAACGUAACAAGAAAUGACGUCCUCAGACUUGGUGAAAAUCACAGAUUUUCACUAAACUGGAAUUUCAGCCACAUGCCUACUUUGACUAGGCACAACUUGCACAUAUGAGCUACUAAGCAUGAAACAAAACCAACAUGCUAUAGAGGGGGUCACCCUCUAAUGCCACAACAAGGAAUCAACCUCUUGGGCUCACCACAUCUCAUUGAACCAAGCUCCAAACAUUGAACAAAUCUGAAAUAUGACAUUCCCAGAAAGUGUUCCAAAGUCAAAACUGACUUCACCAAUGGAUUCCUGAGAUGUUUCUACCCCAAAAGCAUAUAUAAUACAUGGGCACUUGCAUAGAACAAAUGGGCACAAACUAGAAAAGAAAAACUACAUAGAAUCACAUAUCAUAGAGGGGGUCACCCUCUAAUGUCACAACAAGGAAUCAACCUCUUGGGCUCACCACAUCUCAUGGAACCAAGCUCCAAACAUUGAACAAAUCUGAAAUAUGACAUUCCCAGAAAGUGUUCCAAAGUCAAAACUGACUUCACCAAUGGAUUCCUGAGAUGUUUCUACCCCAAAAGCAUAUAUAAUACAUGGGCACUUGCAUAGAACAAAUGGGCAGAAACUAGAAAAGAAUACUUCUCGGAAUCACAUAUGGUGAAUAGUGCAUCAUCACAUGUGCUAUUCACUAGAACAACAUCUACACAAGCAUAUGCACACUCUCACAAGCACAAUGGUGACAUGAGGGUUUAGACCUCAUGCAUGUGUUCCAUAGCACCUCACCAUACCCACACACAUACAACAAGCACAAGCAUUACAACAAGCACAAGCAUCACAACACCUACAUAUGCUAAUAAGGACACACACACUAGAUGACACCACAUCAUCCAUACCCCUACACAUAUGAACAUGCUCAAGUGCUCAUCCAAGGUUAACCAAGCCUUGGGUAUGUGUGGGUCACCACACACUUACAACACACUCAUGACAAGAGCACCCACAUAAACACAAGGUGGGUGAGGGGGGAAACCCACACACACACUCACACCACACUCUCAAGCAAUAGUGCAUGAGCUCAAUUCUCAUCAUUUAUAUAUGUUUCACACACACCACAUAAGCAUCAUCACUUAGUGCCAUACACUCACAAGGUGCACACACACACAUGAUACUUAAACAUACGUACACCACACAACCUACACAUGCAUAUAACAACUACUAAGCUAGCAAAUACUAGCAACACAUGUUGUUGGAGGCAAGCAAAAAAAAUACCCACAUGAAGAUCUACCACCCCACUUACAUCUAUGCAAGCAUACAAUGCAAAAACAGGAAGAAUGCAACAAAAAUAUAAAGGGUUUUGGGGGGGAGGGGUCGAACCCUGGAGCCCCUGGUUCAAGCCACAGACCCAAACCACUCUGCUAACCUGCACUAGCUCGAUAGAGAAGGGAAAGCUUGCAAGGUAAGGUUGCACUCUGCGCUACUGUGCGAAACAAAGGAAAUAAAAAGGGGGGUGGCAACCCUGGGACUCGAACCCUGCCCCUCACGCCAACACAGACAACACCAUGCACUGCAACCACUAGGAUACGCUACGGGGAGUUGACUGAACAGAGGGGGGUAUACUAGGUAUACUACCAAGCCUCGCUGCUUGGCUCUGAGCACAGAGAGACGUCGGCGGCAGAGGACAUCACCGGGGCAGCCUGAGCUAGCUACUGCUGCUCUACGAGGGGGAAGAACUACCCUACUGCUGCGAGGAAAAACCUCUACACUGCUACUGCAUCUACUCGAGCACAUACACUACACAGAACAAACAAGAACACCCAUGACAUGCCGACCUCUUCUCUGAACAGAGAAGCACGGUGACGAUCAUCGCCGGAUCUAAUCGAGGGGAAGGGAGAGAAGAGGGCAUCCUCACCUAGGGAAGGAGAAGGGUACGCCGACUGGAGGAGGAGGCAGGUUGGAGAGGAACGAAGACGCCCUGACGAAGCCUAGAGACGUCCUGGAUGCAGAGCCGAAGGAGAGGAAGAAGACCGACGGGACCGCGCCGUUGGCCAGCUCCUGCCCGUGGGUGAGGUCGCUCCCCGGCCUCACCGAGGACGGGAAUGGAGCAUGGGGUCCUGCCCCGAGCCCGUGGACAUGGCGGCCGGCACCGGAGACGACGGGAGCAGGGUAGACGACGGCGGGGCUCUUCUCUCUCUCUCUGCUAGAUCGGCUACCGAACUUACCUUGGGGGAGGAAGAAGAGAUGGGGGAGAGUGGCGGCGCAAGGAGGGGAAAGGAGGAACCCUAAGGGAAGGGGGCACGCACGCCGAGGCUAUAUGGGGGGGCCUCGACAUCCGUGAGCCCUCACGGCGACUCUCUCUUUCUCGGUUGUCUGACGAAAAGCGAGCAGAGGGGUAGACGCCAUCAGGAGGAGGAAGGAGGGACGCGGAGGCUGGGCUGCUGCGCCCGUAGAGAGGGAGGAAUGGGCCUGCUAGUGGGAGGGAGCCCACUAGUACCGCUAGAUACGAGAAAUAUAACUCCUGGAGUUUUAUCCAAUUUCAAAUAACUAGAGAAAGCAAAUAAAGCACAGGCUAAACUAUAGAUGCUAAAAAUAAAACUAGCACACCCCUGGUCAUAAGAUAAUAUAACCUAUUUAAGAAAAAUGGAAAAUGAUUUUUUAUGAGCCUCUAAAUAUUUACGAAACAGAAUAUGUUGGGCUGUUUUGUGAAUAUUUUGCACCUAAUAGACGGAGAUGACUCCCUCUCCCUCUCUCCCCUCCUCCUCCUCCUCCUCCCACCUCCAUCUCCACAGCCUCUCCAAUCCUUCCAACCAUGAAGAUUUCUCAUGUUAAUCAAGAUGGAAGGGCUCAUACAUUGGGAUUUCUCACCAGGGUUAGCCGUGGCCAAACAGGUGAGGCUCAAGUUUGGCACCAUGGUGCAUUUUUCUUCUCCCCGGACAGGCAAAGUUUUCUACUUGGUGGUUUCUUUCUCCUCGGCCUCUUUCCCCUUGAAUGAAUAUUCAGUGGGCAUUUCUCUCCAAUGUUGCUUGGGUGGUUUAAGCUCGGGUUUCUCUGUCCGAAAAAUAUCAGCAAGAACCUUUCGGUUUAGUGUUGCCAACAACAAAGUGGGUCACUUCAUCUAUGGACUCGAAGAUAGAGUUUGGCCAGAUUUUGUUUGUCAUUUCCACCUCUUCAAGGGACGUUUUGCUCAGGCUAUACAUCAUGAUUAUCAUUGGCAUGCAGAUGAGGAAUUGGUUAACAUCUCUUCUAGGAAGUCUAUGGCGAUCAAAACUGAUUUAAGUUUUCUUGGCAAAGAGAUUAUCAAUGAUACUACAUCGGGUUUGCUCCACUCCUCAAAUUUGGUUAAGCUUGAUCUUAGCAACUUUUGCAAUCGUCAUGGGGGUGAAGCAUCAUCCUCACAUGCAGUAACGCAUGCCCACAAUCAACGUAACAUGGCACAUGCAAGUUUGAAUACAACAACGCCAUCCUCGGAGGAAAGCCCGCAUAUGCGUUUAAUGGAGAGUUAUGUCGCCCUAGCGGAUUUGGAGGAAGUGGGAUCUGCCUCUAAUUCCAAUUUCCAUCAUUUGGGCAGUUUCCGAUUUCGUCUUAAUGUUCCAUAUCCUACUCCACCGCAGUGUUUCCUUACAUCAACGUUUAAAUACGUGCCACAGCCUUCGGAGUGGCCGCCGGUUUUAGUGGCUCGUCACAAGGCAGAUUUAGCGCAAGCCCAAUACUCUGCCGAGGAAAUCUCGGAAUUAGCCAUUAAUUGGCCGUUUUUAUGCGCAAGAUGCCUUCAAUGGGGCAUCAUAAACGGGACUGUUUCUCGCGCGUGAUUUGCAUUAACUGCUCAGCUCCUAAUCACAAGAUGAUUGCUUCCCUACGAUUAUUAAGCAUAGUCUGUCGGCCGACACGACUACUACUCGGGCAAUUAGCACCAGAGAUUGCAAUCAAUCCAAAGUUGUCGUUUCCCGCUUGGUUCCCUCUCCAGGCAAACGUCUCGCGAUACAAGGUGCGACUGGUGUGGGGCAUAUGGACACAAGAUCCAUUUCUGUUUUAAGCGAGAAAAAUACUCUAAAUGGAUUUGGAUACCUAAAGUUUCCAGUUCUACCCCUCACGCUUCGAAUUCUGCGCCUUCCCCCACAGAGCUCAUCACCCUCCUGUCCCCUCCGAGACUACGGCCGCCACACCCUCCUUUGUCUUCUUUCUCAUCGCCGUCUCCUCGGCUGUCAACCACCUCCAUUGCCAUGGCUAACUAUCCACUAAACCCAGUACCGUUCCUCCCGCCCGGAUUCGCCGUGGAACCUGGUCCGAGUGAUAGAAUCGUGCGGAGUGGCAUGGUGAUUGGGCCGUUUCCACCCCUCAACCACGACUUCCUGGCGAUUGCGGAGGCAAGUCACUAUGUUCAUCUUCAUUGCCGCGAAGCCAUCCGAGCUCAGAUCGAAGGUUUGCUUCACGAAGCUCACUUAUUCACCACUGAAUCUUCUGAUCAUCCAUUGGGCAUUGGGAUAUUUGGAUUUGCGGAUGCUUUCAUGAGAGAUACCGCCAUUGCUUCUCCCCUAGAGCUUGAGGACGAGGAUCCUCUCCNNNNNNNNNNNNNNNNNNNNNNNNNNNNNNNNNNNNNNNNNNNNNNNNNNNNNNNNNNNNNNNNNNNNNNNNNNNNNNNNNNNNNNNNNNNNNNNNNNNNGACAAGAGGAGAAGAAAGAGGAAAAAUGAAAGGAAGCAAGAAGAAGAAGAAGAGAAGAAUAAGAAGAGAAGGAGGAGGAUAAUAAGAAGGAGAAGAAGGAGGAGAAGAAGGAGAAGGAGCUCCUCCUUCUCCUUCUUCUUCCUCCUUCUUCCUCCUUCUCCUUCUCCUUCUUCUUUUCUUCUUCUUCUCCUCUUCCUUCUCCUUCUCCUCCUCCUCCUCCUCCUUCUUCUUCUUCUUCUUUUACUUCUUCUUCUCUUAUUGCUUCUUCUCUUUCUCUUCUUCUACGUAGCUUAGAUUCAUCCAAGAAAGACUAAAUUGGCUAAUUAUCCUACAAAAUGACAUAANNNNNNNNNNCCUUCUUCUUUUACUUCUUCUUCUCUUGUUGCUUCUUCUCUUUCUCUUCUUCUACGUAGCUGAGACUCAUCCAAGAAAGACUAAAUUGGCUAAUUAUCCUACAAAAUGACAUAAUUAGCUUAGUUAGCUCCAAAAUGACAUAAUUUGCUUAGUUAGCUCCAAAAUGACCUAUUUAAUAAAUAAUGGCCUAUAGUUAGCUAAGUUAUCUCCUAAAUGACAUAAUAAGGCUUAUGUAGCUGCAAUAUGACCUAUUCCCCCUAACUUAGGUAUUAAAUGGCCUAUAAUUAGCCUNNNNNNNNNNNNNNNNNNNNNNNNNNNNNNNNNNNNNNNNNNNNNNNNNNNNNNNNNNNNNNNNNNNNNNNNNNNNNNNNNNNNNNNNNNNNNNNNNNNNUUAGACUCAUCCAAGAAAGACUAAAUUGGCUAAUUAUCCUACAAAAUGUCAUAAUUAGCUUAGUUAGCUCCGAAAUGACCUAUUUAAGAAAGAAAUGACCUAUAGUUAGCUAAGUUCUCUCCUAAAUGACAUAGUAAGGCUUACUUAGCUGCAAGAUGACCUAUUCCCCCUAAUUAGGUAUUAAAUGGCCUAUAAUUAGUCUAGCUAGAUCCAAAAUGGCUUAAUAAGCAUAGUUUGCUCCGGAAUGACCUAUUUUACCCAAGUUAGCUCCGAACCGACCUAUAGUUAGCUAGGCUUCCACCUAAAUGACAUAAUUAGCUUAGUUAGCUCCAAAAUGGUCUAUUUAAUAAAGCAUGACCUAUACUUAGCUAAUUAUCCUUGAAAUGACAUAACUAGCUCCAAAAAGGCAUUCUUAGCUAAUUUAGCCCGAAGAAGGGGACAAGAGGAGAAGAAAGAGGAAAAAUGAAAGGAAGCAAGAAGAAGAAGAAGAUAAGAAGAAGAGAAGGAGGAGGAUAAGAAGAAGGAGAAGAAGGAGAAGGAGCUCCUCCUUCUCCUUCUUCUUCCUCCUUCUUCCUCCUUCUCCUUCUCCUUUUUCUUUUCUUCUUCUUCACCUCUUCCUUCUCCUUCUCCUCCUCCUCCUCCUCCUCCUCCUCCUUCUUCUUCUUUUACUUCUUCUUCUCUUCUUGAUUCUUCUCUUUCUCUUCUUCUACGUAGCUUAGACUCAUCCAAGAAAGACUAAAUUGGCUAAUUAUCCUACAAAAUGNNNNNNNNNNNNNNNNNNNNNNNNNNNNNNNNNNNNNNNNNNNNNNNNNNNNNNNNNNNNNNNNNNNNNNNNNNNNNNNNNNNNNNNNNNNNNNNNNNNNCCCCCCCGACGCCACCCAUAACCUCGCCGCCACCCUCGCCGCCCCACGCCACCGCGCCUCCCCUUGCCGGAGUAUCGGCCGCCACCAGAAGCUCCAGGAGCUCGAGCUCCAUCGCCCCGAGCUCCUCUCCGCCACCACCGAACGAAGGAGGAGGAAUUCCUCCACCUCCUGGACCCUCCAAACGCCGCCACAGAUCAGCGGAGCCCCUCCCCAUCGCCAGCUCUGCCUCGGCCUCGCCGGCGACCUUGCCGGAGCACCACCACCCCUGUGAGCUCCCCUCCCGUUAAUAACCGUCNNNNNNNNNNCCCUCGCCGCCCCACGCCACCGCGCCUCCCCUCGCCGGAGUAUCGGCCGCCACCAGAAGCUCCAGGAGCUCGAGCUCCAUCACCCCGAGCUCCUCUCCGCCACCACCGAACGAAGGAGGAGGAAUUCCUCCACCUCCUGGACCCUCCAGACGCCGCCACAUAUCACCGGAGCCCCUCCCCAUCGCCAGCUCUGCCUCGGCCUCGCCGGCGACCUCGCCGGAGCACCACCACCCCUGUGAGCUCCCCUCCCGUUAAUAACCGUCCGAUCUAGAUCUUACGCGCACGAUUAGAAGCAGGAUAACCCUUUGGUUUUUAAACAAAAACCGAACGGUUUUCUUCACUUAUUAUUUAGCCAGAGAGAUUUUGUUUAAUUUGCGGCCGUCCGCUAGUUAGUCAUCGCAGCGCACACCUCCUAGCCACUCAGGACGCGCCACGUGGACCCCCUGUUCACUAGUUAGACUUUUUUUAUUUUCAGUUUAAUUCAAAAACAGAGAUAGUUCCAAUUUUGUUUGGCUCAUAACUUUUGAUUCUUAAGUCCAAUGGAGUUGAUUAUUUUUCCAGUAGAUCACAAUUUUUCUGUAGUUUUUAAAAACAUAUAAUUUGUCUAUGUUUGAAAUUUUCAAAUUUGAAUUAGAUCAGCUUUAGUUUAAACCUUGUUUUGCCUAUUCCAGGAGUUUAAAAAUAGAUUUUAAUUUGAUUCUUUUUGCUACUGAUCACUAGUGAUCCUAGUUACCGGUGGUAAAACUUUCAGAUUUGUUUGAGUAUUUUAGCUCACUGUUUCUUGUGAAACCAUUUCUAUUUCACCUCUUUUAGGAUUACGGCUAAUUCCUUUUCUAUAAUUGUUUUUAAAUUAUUUUCUUUUNNNNNNNNNNUUAUUUUAGCUUACUGUUUCUUGUGAAACCAUUUCUGUUUCACCUCUUUUAGAAUUACGGCUAAUUCCUUUUCUAUAAUUGUUUUUAAAUUAUUUUCUUUUAUAUUUCAGAAAGAUAAUGUUUUGUUUAUGUUAGUUAACAGUAGGUUUGCAACAAGUUUUGAUUUUGAUUUUUAUAUGUUAUCAUGAAAUCAAUUCUAGUUCUCUAAUAACUUGCAAUUGGUUUCUCCACUGUUUCAAAUCCCGUUUGGAAAUACUUUCAAAACAUUUUGUGAAAAAUACUUUAUUUUAUCUUAGUUAAAUUUAUAUCUUAGUUCCCUGUUAUUAUUUUCCGUUGGACAAAAACUAUUUAGUGUUUGAUGUAGUAGAAGACUCCCUAGGCUUAUUUGAAGUUUACUUCGGAUUCCUAUUCGUCUCUCUUUUGUUUUGAUUGCUAGAAUGAUUGCUAGUAUGAGUGCUUAUGUGAAUGAUAUGUUUGUUAUAUAGAUUUCAUCGGAGAGUGACGAGUAGUCUAUCAAGUUAUUUCUCGAGAAAUUCUUCUUCGUCAACAUCGCCAGGCAAGUCAUUUUGAUCAUACAAUUUCCUAUGUUUUUUCGAUGCAUGGUAGUUGCACCUUUAUUUGCCCAAUUGCAUGUUGCUUAGGUACAUGGAAAUUUUAGUAUAGAUUGUAGUAUCAUGUGGUAGGCACGCAACAACCCCGAUACUUGGCCUCGGGACGACAAAUUUCAUAUUGCUAUGCUUGAGUAGACGGGAUUUCGUUUGAGUGCAUAACACGAGUGAUGCGAGGUUGAUUAAAUAAUCAAGACCGGUUAAGACAAGAUUUUCAAGACCUCGGAUGCAAUGCAACUCUGGGUGAAGGACGAUUGAUCGGCUCCCUGGAGAACCCAGUGGAUGACCCGGGAUGCUGGAGACGGCCAUGACAUCCUGCGGAAAGCUUCACCCAGGCUCAAAGAGACGGACGAAUAUUUUCAAGACCCAAGGCUUACCUGCACAGCCACAAGUCAUUAUGGGCUCUGGCUUGGUUGGACAACGCGGCGGCUCUGGACAGGCGGUGCUAGCAGAUGUAGAAGAAUGGUAGGAUUGGAUGGGCACCGACAGGGAUUCAGAGGGACCCGUUGGAAGACCAUGUUUUGGCCAUCCGGUCUUCAAACACCGUGAAGUGCGAGGACAUACACGGAGGCGAUCAAAUCUUGUGGGGAACGUNNNNNNNNNNNNNNNNNNNNNNNNNNNNNNNNNNNNNNNNNNNNNNNNNNNNNNNNNNNNNNNNNNNNNNNNNNNNNNNNNNNNNNNNNNNNNNNNNNNNCCAGCUGCGUGCCGUCGGGAUCACCUGUCUCGGGGGUACCUGAACCUGUUGGUGUUGUGAAGGAAUCUGUUAGCCACGGGGACUCAGCAAUCUAUGACCUCGGUGCCAGAAUUUGUCAAGUUAUUAGGUAAGGAAGGUGGAGUAUUUAGGUUGCAGCAUCCUAAGCUUUAUAGUGGCUAACUUACGUAGAACAUGUAUGAAGGUGGUCUAUACUAGCGAUCGUGGUAUAGCUGAUCACUAAGUGAUCCUGAACACCUACUUACGUCAAUCAUAACCCCACCAUGUUCCCGAUCGAAGAGAGGUCUUAGAAGGGGACAGUCACGGUUACACACACAGUUGGCAAUUUUAUUAGAGUUAUGUUUAAGUUAUCUAUAACCGGAUGUUAACAAAUAUUCCAAGCUGCCACAUAACCGCGGGCACAGCUUUCUGAAAGAUUAAACCCUAUUGGGGUGCUCCAACUAGUCCAUCACAAACGAUCACGGGCCGCAAAGUAAUCCUCUAUCACGAAUCUCGUGAUCUCGUCGAAUUCCUUAGAGGAAAACCUCAACUCUGGAGAGAACCAAAGCUUCACCGGGAUUCCUUUACGCAAUAUAUAUCGCUAAGGUAAGACAACUCUAGCAGGACCUCCCAUCGUGUCGACGACCCCGAUAAGAGCCGCGUAUCUCAGUCUGAGGACACGACGGAUGGAAAAGCCUACACGAGCCAAACCUCAAGUUUCCCUGUGGUGGCCCCCGCAGUCUGUCCAUUUUUGGACCAACACUCAUGAGGAGCACUGGCCCGGGUUGUUGANNNNNNNNNNNNNNNNNNNNNNNNNNNNNNNNNNNNNNNNNNNNNNNNNNNNNNNNNNNNNNNNNNNNNNNNNNNNNNNNNNNNNNNNNNNNNNNNNNNNUGCAAUCUAAGCUAUCUUGACAUGCAUGAGAAUGACAUGAACAGAUGCUUCACGCGAAAACGAUGCAAAAACAUAUAAAGAACGUAACGAUCGGAGCNNNNNNNNNNCUCAAAUGCAACAAGCACAUGAUGCAUGAGAUGAAAAUGAACAUGCAUCUCUAUUCUAGUCACUAGCACAAGCAUGAGAAGUAAAUACAAGUUCCUGGACAGAACCACACUCUAAGAUAUCUUUACAUGCAUGAGAAUGACAUGAACAUAAGCGUCACGCGAAAACGAUGCAAAAACAUAUAAAGAACGUAACGAUCGGAGCUACGGAUCAACGGAAAACAACGUAACAAGAAAUGACGUCCUACGUAUCAAAAUCAUCACAACACUCACCAAUGGCAUACUUCUGCUAUUUCCAGGUUGCCAAGACAUAAAACAAACCAACAUGGAUGGGGUGGUGCAAGGAAUAUCACCACACCAUCAUCUAUGCACUCACAAGCAUCAAAACAUCAAAACUAUACAUGCUGCCAUAAACAACAUCGUAGCAGUUUGAGGGCUACAUGCAAAGCACCUACAGCCACCCAAAUAUGCCAAUUAAUAUAUGUGGCAGAAUCUAUCAAAGAUUACUACAAGCACAAGCAAAAAGAUAAUACAAAGGAGUUUCACACAGAAAGUUACACAGCUGCUAACUUGGCCAAAAAUAUCAGUUUUUAGGGACUUAGUGAAAAUUCCAGAUUCUCACUAGCUGUUUAUGCUCUGAAGCAUUUUGACAGCAGCCAAAACAAUAUCUACAUGACCCCCAAUGGAAUGAAAAUUUACAUAGAGCUAGACAAACACGAAAGCUAUAAAUUUCCAGUUGAUAGCAAAGGCUCAUUCCGUACACAUGGACCUCUACAAGCACAACAACAGGAGAAGAAAAUAUAAGCAGAUUCUCAGACUUAGUGAAAAUCACAGAUUUUCACUAAACUGGAAUUUCAGCCACAUGCCUANNNNNNNNNNNNNNNNNNNNNNNNNNNNNNNNNNNNNNNNNNNNNNNNNNNNNNNNNNNNNNNNNNNNNNNNNNNNNNNNNNNNNNNNNNNNNNNNNNNNNNNNNNNNNNNNNNNNNNNNNNNNNNNNNNNNNNNNNNNNNNNNNNNNNNNNNNNNNNNNNNNNNNUAUAGAGGGGGUCACCCUCUAAUGCCACAACAAGGAAUCAACCUCUUGGGCUCACCACAUCUCAUUGAACCAAGCUCCAAACAUUGAACAAAUCUGAAAUAUGACAUUCCCAGANNNNNNNNNNGAAACAACGUAACAAGAAAUGACGUCCUCAGACUUGGUGAAAAUCACAGAUUUUCACUAAACUGGAAUUUCAGCCACAUGCCUACUUUGACUAGGCACAACUUGCACAUAUGAGCUACUAAGCAUGAAACAAAACCAACAUGCCAUAGAGGGGGUCACCCUCUAAUGUCACAACAAGGAAUCAACCUCUUGGGCUCACCACAUCUCAUGGAACCAAGCUCCAAACAUUGAACAAAUCUGAAAUAUGACAUUCCCAGANNNNNNNNNNUCAAAGGCAAAACUGACUUCACCAAUGGAUUCCUGGGAUGUUUCUACCCCAAAAACAUAUAUAAUACAUGGGCACUUGCAUAGAACAAAUGGGCACAAACUAGAAAAGAAAAACUACAUAGAAUCACAUAUAGUGAAUAGUGCAUCAUCACAUGUGCUAUUCACUAGAACAACAUCUACACAAGCAUAUGCACACUCUCACAAGCACAAUGGUGACAUGAGGGUUUAGACCUCAUGCAUGUGUUCCAUAGCACCUCACCAUACCCACACACAUACAACAAGCACAAGCAUUACAACAAGCACAAGCAUCACAACACCUACAUAUGCUAAUAAGGACACACACACUAGAUGACACCACAUCAUCCAUACCCCUACACAUAUGAACAUGCUCAAGUGCUCAUCCAAGGUUAACCAAGCCUUGGGUAUGUGUGGGUCACCACACACUUACAACACACUCAUGACAAGAGCACCCACAUAAACACAAGGUGGGUGAGGGGGGAAACCCACACACACACUCACACCACACUCUCAAGCAAUAGUGCAUGAGCUCAACUCUCAUCAUGCAUAUAUGUUUCACACGCACACCACAUAAGCAUCAUCACUUAGUGCCAUACACUCACAAGGUGCANNNNNNNNNNGCCAUAGCACCUCACCAUACCCACACACAUACAACAAGCACAACCAUCACAACACCUACAUAAGCUAAUAAGGACACACACACUAGAUGACACCACAUCAUCCAUACCCCUACACAUAUGAACAUGCUCAAGUGCUCAUCCAAGGUUCACCAAGCUUUGGGCAUGUGUGGGNNNNNNNNNNNNNNNNNNNNNNNNNNNNNNNNNNNNNNNNNNNNNNNNNNNNNNNNNNNNNNNNNNNNNNNNNNNNNNNNNNNNNNNNNNNNNNNNNNNNAUACACCACACAACCUACACAUGCAUAUAACAACUACUAAGCUAGCAAAUACUAGCAACACAUGUUGUUGGAGGCAAGCAAAAAAAAUACCCACAUGAAGAUCUACCACCCCACUUACAUCUAUGCAAGCAUACAAUGCAAAAACAGGAAGAAUGCAACAAAAAUAUAAAAGGUUUUGGGGGGGAGGGGUCGAACCCUGGAGCCCCUGGUUCAAGCCACAGACCCAAACCACUCUGCUAACCUGCACUAGCUCGAUAGAGAAGGGAAAGCUUGCAAGGUAAGGUUGCACUCUGCGCUACUGUGCGAAACAAAGGAAAUAAAAAGGGGGGUGGCAACCCUGGGACUCGAACCCUGCCCCUCACGCCAACACAGACAACACCAUGCACUGCAACCACUAGGAUACGCUACGGGGAGUUGACUGAACAGAGGGGGGUAUACUAGGUAUACUACCAAGCCUCGCUGCUUGGCUCUGAGCACAGAGAGACGUCGGCGGCAGAGGACAUCACCGGGGCAGCCUGAGCUAGCUACUGCUGCUCUACGAGGGGGAAGAACUACCCUACUGCUGCGAGGAAAAACCUCUACACUGCUACUGCAUCUACUCGAGCACAUACACUACACAGAACAAACAAGAACACCCANNNNNNNNNNACCUCUUCUCUGAACAGAGAAGCACGGUGACGAUCAUCGCCGGAUCUAAUCGAGGGGAAGGGAGAGAAGAGGGCAUCCUCACCUAGGGAAGGAGAAGGGUACGCCGACUGGAGGAGGAGGCAGGUUGGAGAGGAACGAAGACGCCCUGACGAAGCCUAGAGACGUCCUGGAUGCAGAGCCGAAGGAGAGGAAGAAGACCGACGGGANNNNNNNNNNGUUGGCCAGCUCCUGCCCGUGGGUGAGGUCGCUCCCCGGCCUCACCGAGGACGGGAAUGGAGCAUGGGGUCCUGCCCCGAGCCCGUGGACAUGGCGGCCGGCACCGGAGACGACGGGAGCAGGGUAGACGACGGCGGGGCUCUUCUCUCUCUCUCUGCUAGAUCGGCUACCGAACUUACCUUGGGGGAGGAAGAAGAGAUGGGGGAGAGUGGCGGCGCAAGGAGGGGAAAGGAGGAACCCUAAGGGAAGGGGGCACGCACGCCGAGGCUAUAUGGGGGGGCCUCGACAUCCGUGAGCCCUCACGGCGACUCUCUCUUUCUCGGUUGUCUGACGAAAAGCGAGCAGAGGGGUAGACGCCAUCAGGAGGAGGAAGGAGGGACGCGGAGGCUGGGCUGCUGCGCCCGUAGAGAGGGAGGAAUGGGCCUGCUAGUGGGAGGGAGCCCACUAGUACCGCUAGAUACGAGAAAUAUAACUCCUGGAGUUUUAUCCAAUUUCAAAUAACUAGAGAAAGCAAAUAAAGCACAGGCUAAACUAUAGAUGCUAAAAAUAAAACUAGCACACCCCUGGUCAUAAGAUAAUAUAACCUAUUUAAGAAAAAUGGAAAAUGAUUUUUUAUGAGCCUCUAAAUAUUUACGAAACAGAAUAUGUUGGGCUGUUUUGUGAAUAUUUUGCACCUAAUAGACGGAGAUGACUCCCUCUCCCUCUCUCCCCUCCUCCUCCUCCUCCUCCCACCUCCAUCUCCACAGCCUCUCCAAUCCUUCCAACCAUGAAGAUUUCUCAUGUUAAUCAAGAUGGAAGGGCUCAUACAUUGGGAUUUCUCACCAGGGUUAGCCGUGGCCAAACAGGUGAGGCUCAAGUUUGGCACCAUGGUGCAUUUUUCUUCUCCCCGGACAGGCAAAGUUUUCUACUUGGUGGUUUCUUUCUCCUCGGCCUCUUUCCCCUUGAAUGAAUAUUCAGUGGGCAUUUCUCUCCAAUGUUGCUUGGGUGGUUUAAGCUCGGGUUUCUCUGUCCGAAAAAUAUCAGCAAGAACCUUUCGGUUUAGUGUUGCCAACAACAAAGUGGGUCACUUCAUCUAUGGACUCGAAGAUAGAGUUUGGCCAGAUUUUGUUUGUCAUUUCCACCUCUUCAAGGGACGUUUUGCUCAGGCUAUACAUCAUGAUUAUCAUUGGCAUGCAGAUGAGGAAUUGGUUAACAUCUCUUCUAGGAAGUCUAUGGCGAUCAAAACUGAUUUAAGUUUUCUUGGCAAAGAGAUUAUCAAUGAUACUACAUCGGGUUUGCUCCACUCCUCAAAUUUGGUUAAGCUUGAUCUUAGCAACUUUUGCAAUCGUCAUGGGGGUGAAGCAUCAUCCUCACAUGCAGUAACGCAUGCCCACAAUCAACGUAACAUGGCACAUGCAAGUUUGAAUACAACAACGCCAUCCUCGGAGGAAAGCCCGCAUAUGCGUUUAAUGGAGAGUUAUGUCGCCCUAGCGGAUUUGGAGGAAGUGGGAUCUGCCUCUAAUUCCAAUUUCCAUCAUUUGGGCAGUUUCCGAUUUCGUCUUAAUGUUCCAUAUCCUACUCCACCGCAGUGUUUCCUUACAUCAACGUUUAAAUACGUGCCACAGCCUUCGGAGUGGCCGCCGGUUUUAGUGGCUCGUCACAAGGCAGAUUUAGCGCAAGCCCAAUACUCUGCCGAGGAAAUCUCGGAAUUAGCCAUUAAUUGGCCGUUUUUAUGCGCAAGAUGCCUUCAAUGGGGCAUCAUAAACGGGACUGUUUCUCGCGCGUGAUUUGCAUUAACUGCUCAGCUCCUAAUCACAAGAUGAUUGCUUCCCUACGAUUAUUAAGCAUAGUCUGUCGGCCGACACGACUACUACUCGGGCAAUUAGCACCAGAGAUUGCAAUCAAUCCAAAGUUGUCGUUUCCCGCUUGGUUCCCUCUCCAGGCAAACGUCUCGCGAUACAAGGUGCGACUGGUGUGGGGCAUAUGGACACAAGAUCCAUUUCUGUUUUAAGCGAGAAAAAUACUCUAAAUGGAUUUGGAUACCUAAAGUUUCCAGUUCUACCCCUCACGCUUCGAAUUCUGCGCCUUCCCCCACAGAGCUCAUCACCCUCCUGUCCCCUCCGAGACUACGGCCGCCACACCCUCCUUUGUCUUCUUUCUCAUCGCCGUCUCCUCGGCUGUCAACCACCUCCAUUGCCAUGGCUAACUAUCCACUAAACCCAGUACCGUUCCUCCCGCCCGGAUUCGCCGUGGAACCUGGUCCGAGUGAUAGAAUCGUGCGGAGUGGCAUGGUGAUUGGGCCGUUUCCACCCCUCAACCACGACUUCCUGGCGAUUGCGGAGGCAAGUCACUAUGUUCAUCUUCAUUGCCGCGAAGCCAUCCGAGCUCAGAUCGAAGGUUUGCUUCACGAAGCUCACUUAUUCACCACUGAAUCUUCUGAUCAUCCAUUGGGCAUUGGGAUAUUUGGAUUUGCGGAUGCUUUCAUGAGAGAUACCGCCAUUGCUUCUCCCCUAGAGCUUGAGGACGAGGAUCUCCUCAUCACUUUUGUACCUCGCAACGAAGCUCUGAAUCACCAUAGCACUACCUUUGGGCCUGAACUCUGGAUUAUGUACUUUGGGUUUCCCUAUGACUAUCAGACAGAGUACUAUAUACAGAAAUCUCUAGGUGGUUUUGGUGCUCUUGUUUCCUGGUAUAACCCGAGACAGGAUAGGAGAUUUGUUCUGCUCAAAGUGAGAGUCCUCAAUAUGCGUUUAAUUCCAAAGAGCUUUGUAGUUUGGCAACUAGGUGGUGCUAGAGACUGUUGGACUAUUCAAGUUACUAUCUUGCGUAGCAAUGACUGGAAUGGUUUGUUGCCUGAAGUUCUCCCUGCAGGGGAGGAACCACCUCGCCCUGAUGGCAACCCACACCCUCAGUUUGGCCCUGAACUAACUGCUGAGCAACUAUACCAACAGCAAGUGCAUAACUGGCUAGUUCAAAAUGGAGCUCAACCUCAUGAGGCUCCUCCUGCUAAUGUAGCCCCACAGCAACAGGAUCAGAACAAUGGAUGGGGAGUGUGGCCAGCUUCACCACCACAGUUACCUCCCUACCUCUACAAUUUUCAAGCUUGGCUUGCUGGUCAGGGACUCCAAGUGCAAGAUGGUUUGGUUCCUGAGGAUAAUAUUUCAGAUAGUGCUUCUCAGGCUUGGAAUGAUGCUAUCUCUUACUCCAACAGUUCUGCUAGCACCACUAUCUCUACUGGAUCACUGCCUCCACUAGUGAUGAACUCUCAAACACUUCAGCAGCAACAUUCUGAGGGCCUUUUGAGAAUCUCUCUUGAAGUUCACAAUGAAGGAAUUCGUUUUGGUCUAUCUGAGCAUGGAGAAUCAGUGCUCACCCUGAUGUUAACUGAUCCAGCUCCAAGACAACAGCUAAAUGACUUCAUUUUUAGAACCAUAAAACCUCUCCUAGCUUCUAGAGGCCCUUGGAAUAAUGGUUUUGGUUUCAAGCAUGAAUGUCUGAAUGUGGAAUUUGAAGUGGCUCUGGGAAAUGAUGGUAUAAUCUUUAGCAACACAUGUUCUACUCCCCCAUGAUCAGCUCAUCAUGUGCUGUUGUGAUAGAAGCAUUAUCCCCUGAGCAGCCUCUGUCUUCAACUCUAGAGCAAACACAUCCAUUCGAAGCAGAGUGCAACAUGGAUCAGGAGCCACAAGUCAGCAUGAUCCCUCUAAAGAACAACGGCAAAAUGAAGCUACAAGUGGAUACUGCUAACCUUCGCCGCAGCCUGCGUUCAAACAAAUAUGAUGGUUUCAAGAUCCCAUCCAUGGCAGAGGGUAAGAUCACUAAGUCAAAAGUUAAACCCAGGAUGAUUCCUAAUAUUGCACUACAUGAAGAUGACCGUGCUCUGACACUUGAGGUACCCCCACCUACUGCCAUCAACACCAUGCAAGCCAUUGGAACACAACUUUGUGCCAUACCUGAAGCAGAGCUUGCAGCUAAGGAGCUCCUUCGCGAAGAUCCAGGCCCUGAAGAUGGCCAAGCUUGAACUUGUGCCUGACCUACCACUUCUUUAGUCUUUAUGGUGCUUUUGAAUAGUUGGAAUGUCUUAUGUUGGAACAUUCGUGGUCUUAAUUCGCCCAAAAACAUCUAGCUCUAUCGAAUGCUAUUCGUGACAGCAGCUGCUCUAUCAUUUAUUUACAAGAAACAAAAAUGCCCUGGUUCGAUGAAAAUGACUUAUGUACCUUGUGUCCCAAACGAUUUGACAAAUUUGCAUAUAUUCCCUCCAGAGGGGCCUCUGGUGGGCUAGUCACGAUUUGGAACAGCUCUAUGUUCAUAGGAGAUACGUUUGUAGAAGAGGAAUUCACUCUAGGGGUCCAGUUCUCAUCAAAGCAAUCAACGGUGGCCCCUGCCAAGGGGAACAACGAGUUCGUUUCACCACUUGGCUCUUUGAUCUUGAUAUUGUGGCGACCGAGGACUGGUUGAUCCUAGGGGAUUUCAACUACAUUAAAGCCCCAACAAACCGCAAUCUACACGGAGGUGACAUUCAAGACAUGUUUACGUUUAAUGAAUUCAUCAGCGAGCAGAAGUUAAUAGAGAUCCCAAUCAAAGGCCGAGCAUAUACAUGGUCGAAUAUGCAGCAAAACCCCCUACUCGAACAGCUCGACUGGUUCUUUACCUAUCUGAAUUGGACCACCUCCUUUCCCAACACUUUGGUACGUCCCUUGGCGCUACCUGUAUCAGAUCAUAUCCCCUGUUCGGUAGAAAUCCAAACUAACAUUCCAAGCAACAAAAUCUUCCGCUUUGAAACCUACUGGAUUGCUCACCCGGGGUUUAUGGAUACGGUUUCACAAGCUUGGAAUAAACCCAUCAAACAUGGUAGGAAUAGCAAUGCAGCGGCGAUAAUUUGUCAGAAACUUAAGGCAGUACGCUUUGCGCUAAAAAGAUGGAGCAGCAGUAUCUCCCGUCUAAAGGUAGCGACCAUCAACACCAACAAGGCAUUACUGGAGAUAGAUGCCAUCGAAGACAGGCGUACUCUCACCACGCCAGAAAGAAACUUCCGGCACAUUCUCAAAAAUCACCUUCUCAGGUUGCUACAAUAACAGAAAGACUACUGGCACAAGAGAUGCACGAUCAGAUGGAUCAAGUUUGGAGAUGAAAAUACCAAAAAAAAUUCAAACGGUGGCAACUGAACGCUAUCGGCGCAACUAUGUGGCCACGCUCAAAACUGAUGAAGGGGUCGUGGUUGAGACACGUUCCAACAAGGAGACCCUCCUGUUUGACACCUACAGAACAAGGAUGGGCACAGCGAGAUCUCCGGAUAUACAAUUUGAUUUAAUGCAGCUCAGGCGACAAGGUGUAGACUUUGAAUCUCUCACGGUCCCCUUUGCAAAAGAAGAAAUAGACGCUGUAGUUAAAGAGAUGCCAGCUGGCAAAUCUCCAGGGCCAGACGGUUUUAACGGCGCCUUCCUUAAAACCUGCUGGCACAUCAUCAAGAAAGACUUCUAUGAUCUCUGUGAUGAAUUCCACCAAGGUAAUCUCAACCUAGAAUCUCUCAACUAUGGACACAUCAUGCUCGUCCCGAAAACGGCUUCCCCUGAGACAGUAAACGACUAUCGUCCCAUUACCCUUCUUAACUGCUGCCUCAAGAUGAUCACCAAGAUACUGACAAAGUGACUCCAGAAAAUUAUUCUAUAGAUUGUGCAUCGAAACCAAUACGGGUUCCUCCGUGGUAGAUCUAUUCAUGACUGCUUGGCGUGGGCUUUCGAGUAUAUUCACCAAUGUCAAAGCUCUCGAAAGGAGGUGGUCCUUCUUAAGUUCGAUUUCACUAAAGCGUUUGAUACAGUUGAACACUCGGCCAUGAUCACCAUCAUGCAACAUAUGGGGUUUAAUUCGAAGUGGAUCCAAUGGAUCCAAUGCAUCUUCUCGUCAGGGAAAUCAUCGGUAUUACUGAAUGGCGUCCCUGGUAAACAGUUCCCCGCAGAUGUGGAGUAAGACAGGGAGACCCCCUCUCACCAUUGCUAUUUGUGCUGGCGGCUGAUCUCCUCCAAACGGAGAUUAACAAACAAUUGAAUCUUGGCUUAUUAUCUCACCCUAUUGAUCCAAGAGGUGAUGCUACAUUUCCAAUGAUUCAAUACGCCGAUGACACCAUCAUCAUCAUGCAGGCGUGUACUGUCCAAGCUGCGCGAAUGAAACGAAUACUGGACGAUUUCGCCACGACGAUAGAGCUCAGGAUUAACUAUCAGAAAUCAACCCUAGUUCCUAUCAAUGUGACGCAAGACGGCUACGACAACAUCAUCUCGAUCUUUCGAUGUGCACAAGCAACAAUGCCAUUCACAUACCUAGGGCUCCCGCUGUGUACAUCUAAACCUACUGUCCUGGACAUGACGCCGCUUGUCUGUAAAGCGGAGAGGAAAAUCACAGCUGCCAUGUCGCUGAUGUCGCAUGUGGGAAGAUUGGCUUUGAUGAACUCACUCAUCACGUCACUGCUUGUGUACUCAAUGGGGACCCUUAGAAUUCCCCCAACGACCGUGGAACAAUUCGAUAAAAUCCGAAGGAGGUGUCUAUGGAGGAAGAAGACUGAGGAUAGGUUUAAAAGUAAUGCCCUAGUAGCGUGGGACGCAGUUUGCCGCCCCAAAGAAAAUGGCGGCCUAGGGGUCCUGAAUCUCAAGUUACAAAAUGAUGCCAUGCUCCUGAAGAUGCUUCACAAGUUCUAUAACCGAAAAGAGAUCCCAUGGGUAGCAUUGAUCUUGAACACGCACUACAGUGACGCAAUACCCCAUGCGCGAGAUCGAUGUGGCUCCUUUUGGUGGCGAGAACUAACUAAACUUAUGCUGGUGUUCCGAGGGAUAACGCGAGUCAGGGCUAACGAUGGCCUCUCGACGCUCUUUUGGAAAGAUGACUGGAACAAUGCUGUAUAUGCAAAAAAGUUUCCCCGGGCCUUCUCCUUCGCUAGAACUGAAGAUGUUUCGGUUCAGACCUUCUUGGGGACAAGCUCACUACAGGAAGCCUUCUUAUUGCCGCUGUCGGAACAAGCGCAUGAAGAACUCAAGGUGAUGCAACAUGAAAUCAGAGAUGUGCGGCUAAACCCUAGAGGAGAUGACUGGGUAUGUUCCUGGGGAGCUGACACCUUUGCAAUUGCGGCAUAUCAACGGUUCUAUUUCAGAGGAGCUACGAUGCAUGCAGCGUUUAGCCGGCUAUGGAAAACAAAAUGUGUCCCAAAGAUCAAGGUGUUCGGAUGGUUCUGGCUGAUGGACAGGCUCAACACGAGGAAUAUGCUCAAACGAAGACAUUACAACAUCGGGUCUACUCUUAACUGCAUGCUAUGUGAUCGACAUGUGGAGGAAACCCUUGAACAUCUCCUUUGGAGUGCAGCUUUAGCCAACGUUGUUGGGAUAUGCUAAACAUCAAAUGGUCAGAUGGACGACAUAGACUGGAGAUACUGCAACAUCAGAGGACAGAACACCCCAGGAACAUGUUCAUGGAGAUUUUCCUAGUGGCGGCCUGGAGUCUAUGGAAGGAAAAAAAUAACAAGUGCUUUGAGCAAAUAACUCCCUCUCUGGGGGCCUGGCAACGUAGAUUUGUAUUAGACUUCUCCAAUCUUAGACACCGUGUGCCUGCUAGCAAGGUGCAAACCAUAGAUAACAUCGUUGCAACCCUAGCUGACACCCCAUAAUAUGUAACUCCUCCCCUGCCCACCUCACCCCCCUCACCCACUCCACCCCCCUCCAAUCAUGUACAUGUGUAACUAUUGGCAAUAUAUAGACAUGCAGUAGGAUUUUAUCCUACUGUCUUACACUCAAAAAAAAUAUUUUGCACCUUUAAAACUUGGAUCAAAAUAGCAACUUCACUUGCNNNNNNNNNNAAAACAGGAAAGGAUCAAGUGAAACUUGACAUUGCGACGAAAUAGAGAGGGGGGAGUUUUCUAAAACCCUAGUGCAAACCAACAUGGUUUCCUACUAGCAAUUGCACCACUCAAGUCCAAUUACACACACACCAUCAUCACAUCACAACUCAUGGAACACAAGAACAACAAUACAAAGGCAAGGAUGAAUGUGAUGGCAUGNNNNNNNNNNNNNNNNNNNNNNNNNNNNNNNNNNNNNNNNNNNNNNNNNNNNNNNNNNNNNNNNNNNNNNNNNNNNNNNNNNNNNNNNNNNNNNNNNNNNNNNNNNNNNNNNNNNNNNNNNNNNNNNNNNNNNNNNNNNNNAAAGAUACACUCUUGGGGCAUUACAGAGAAUCACGACCGGUCAACUACACUAUAGAGCUAACAUCAGGAGUACGUAUGGAGGUGUCACCCUCCGUACUCGAUAGUAGCCUUGCAUCGUCGUACAACUAAGGGGGUGUGAGUGAUGUGACGGGUCUUGGCUCAUCAAUCAGAUGAUUGAGACUUGAUGAAAAAGGCAGGGGCAACUGGACUAGGGGGGGUAAAUGGGAAUCACUUCUCCACCUAUACUAAGUAGUUUAAAGUGCGGUAGAAUAAAGUAGCAGUUCAUCAGGAACGGGCUAUGCAUCAGAAUAGGAGCUAUCUACAACAGUAGAAAAAUCUAAUGCAAGCAUGAGGAAGAAAGAAUAGGCAGCAUAGGAAUGAUCAAGGGGGGUUUGCUUGCCUUGUUGCUCUGCGGCAAAGGGCUGGUCGUCACGAGGAUAGUCGUACCUGGCAGCAGCGUCAGUCUCGGGGUCUGUCGGUAAGAAGAGGGGGAUAAACAAUAAAUAUAAAGUAGACAAAUGCAUCACGAUGCAUGACAUGGCAAUAUGCAGUGCUAGGCAUGAGCUAACGUAGUAUUACCCAUCAUAGACGGAUUGGGAAAAUAUCUGAGAUAUUUCCCGGGUCUCUGGCUACUACCAGACAAGCGAAACGGAUGGAAAAGUUCCAUAUUCGCUAUGAUAGGGACGCGUGACAAACGAACGGCGUAUCCGGAUUCGUCUCGUUUUUCUGAUCAACUUUCAUUUAUAAAUUAUUUUCAUCUCACUUACGGAUUAUUUUAUAUUAAAUUAUCAAGGUUUUAUUAAUAUUUUAGAAUUAAUAGAUUUAAUUUAAUUAUAAAAAUGAUAUUAUCACAUUAGCAUGAUGUCAGUCAACAGCUCAGUUGACUCGUCAAUUUGACCAGUGAGCCCCAUUGUCAUACAGACUCGCCUAACGAGGGUAUAUUAAACCCAACUAUUGAUUUAUUAGUAAGGGAACACACAUGUCAUACACUCACAUUCAGUUAAUAGAAUUAAUUAAUUAGAUUAGGUAUAACUAACUUAACUAAUUACUUUCAUUAAUUAGACAAAUCAAUCAAGGGUUAAUUAAGCCAACUAAUUAAACACAAUUAUAUAAUUAACUCGUUUAAUAUUAUUUACUUAUUGUUUCAUUUUCAUUUUUAUAUUCAUUUUAUAGUAAUUUAUUAAUUAAGGCGUUUUACUGGGGGUGACCCCAUGGUGGACAGGGAGAGGCCCGGGGCCGAAAGGGGCAGCCGAAAAAGGCAACGACACCGUGGCCGGAAAGGCGACGGCGGUGGUGGUGCCGACGGCCGUGGGACGAGUGGCUGCGGUUUCCGGCAGGGCCAACGGGGCCAACAUCGGGGAGCACACGAAGGCGGCUGGCGAUGUGCGUGUGGUGGUCGGAGGGCUGCCAGCGGCAGCAGCGAUGAGCGGGGCCGGUCGAGCACCACGUGUGUGCGAGCGGCACGAGGGGAACGCGGUCAAGGUGAGCGCGCGGUGCAGCGGGGCCGUAGUGCGGGCGCGGGACAAGGGGGCGAGCAAGGCGGGGGCGCAUGGGCGUGGUCUAGUGAGGGAGAGAGGGAUGCGAGUGACAGUCGGGGUUUCUCGUCGGUGGGGGCUCGCCGGAGCGAGGGGUUGCACGUUGAGGGGAGGGGGCCAUCGGAGGGAAAGAAGAGGAGAGGAGGGGGCGGGUCUCACUGCCGUUGUAGGGGAGUGGCAAACUGCUCCGGGGCGAGGCGGGGGAAACCAUUGGUGGGGAAGAGUCGGGGAGGUGGUGCGAUGGUGGUCGGUGUCGGCAGUGGUGGCAGUAGAGGACCGCUGAGGUGGGGCAAGGUGGGGCCGACGGCUAGCGCCGGCAAGGGCGGCUCGGGGCGGCCACUAGUCGAAGCGGCGUCGAGGCGGCGCCAUGGCCNNN
This 26780-nucleotide long non-coding RNA is filed under the name Hordeum vulgare. RNAcentral's name for it is "long non-coding RNA (HVUL_LNC011637)". The record is from RNAcentral. Lineage: Eukaryota; Viridiplantae; Streptophyta; Magnoliopsida; Poales; Poaceae.